This 23-nucleotide non-coding RNA is filed under the name Mus musculus (house mouse). Lineage: Eukaryota; Metazoa; Chordata; Mammalia; Rodentia; Muridae. The record is from RNAcentral.
UACCAGGGACACUGAGCAGUGGU